Populus trichocarpa (black cottonwood) is the source of this 302-nucleotide non-coding RNA. Lineage: Eukaryota; Viridiplantae; Streptophyta; Magnoliopsida; Malpighiales; Salicaceae. The record is from Rfam.
GCUGAGCUCAGUAGCGUGGGCUUGUAACUCAAGUGAGGGCAAGAAGGUGAUGGAACUUUGUUUCGGCACAGAAGGUCGGAUUUGGUGUGGCUUCUUACUGGCCUGCCCGUUCCAAGCCAAGAGUGAGCCAUGCUAACCAAGCGAAGGCCUGGUUGGCCUGUCUCCUGAAGUGAAGGGCACUGCGUGAGGCUGGUUUCACAGAGCAACGAUCACCUUCCUCUCUUGGCAGUGGAAGGAUAACAGGCUGGUGCCAAUCAGAUCCGUAUGGCCUAAUGGGCUGUUCCAACUGGACCAUCAUUUUU